GGACUAUUAGCUCAGUAGGUCAGAGCCGUCAGCUCAUAACUGACAGGUCAUCGGUUCAAUUCCGGUAUAGUCCA
This 74-nucleotide transfer RNA is filed under the name Enterococcus phage EFGrKN. Its description in RNAcentral is "tRNA-Met". It matches the Rfam family "tRNA". Rfam says of the family: Transfer RNA (tRNA) molecules are approximately 80 nucleotides in length. Their secondary structure includes four short double-helical elements and three loops (D, anti-codon, and T loops). The record is from RNAcentral. Lineage: Duplodnaviria; Heunggongvirae; Uroviricota; Caudoviricetes; Herelleviridae. RNAcentral also lists the same sequence under 11 other names.